Molecule: ribosomal RNA, 861 nt
Filed under: uncultured archaeon
Lineage: Archaea
Description: SSU rRNA
Rfam family: Archaeal small subunit ribosomal RNA
Source: RNAcentral
UACCAGCUCUCCGAGUGGUAGGGAUGCUUAUUGGGCUUAAAGCGUCCGUAGCUGGCCCUUCAAGUCUCUCGUUAAAUCCAGCGAUUCAAUCGUUGGACUGCGGGAGAUACUGUUAGGCUUGGGGGCGGGAGAAGCCGACGGUAUUUCCGGUGUAGGGGUAAAAUCCUAUAAUCCCGGGAGGACCACCAGUGGCGUAGGCGGUCGGCUAGCACGCGCCCGACGGUGAGGGACGAAAGCUGGGGGAGCAAACCGGAUUAGAUACCCGGGUAGUCCCAGCUGUAAACGAUGCGGGCUAGGUGUUGGAGCGGUCACGAGCCGCUUCAGUGCCGCAGGGAAGCCAUUAAGCCCGCCGCCUGGGGAGUACGGCCGCAAGGCUGAAACUUAAAGGAAUUGGCGGGGGAGCACCACAAGGGGUGAAGCUUGCGGUUUAAUUGGAGUCAACGCCGGGAACCUUACCGGGGGCGACAGCAGAAUGAAAGCCAGAUUGAAGGUCUUGCUGGACGAGCUGAGAGGAGGUGCAUGGCCGUCGCCAGUUCGUGCCGUGAGGUGUCCUGUUAAGUCAGGCAACGAUCGAGACCCGCACCCCCUGUUGCCACCGAGGAGUUCUUCUAAGGGGCACUCUGGGGGGACUGCCAACGAUAAGUUGGAGGAAGGAGUGGGCUACGGCAGGUCAGUAUGCCCCGAAUCCUCCGGGCCACACGCGAGCUGCAAUGGUUGGGACAGUGGGUUCCGACCUCGAGAGGGGAAGGUAAUCCCGAAACCCAGCCUCAGUUGGGAUCGAGGGCUGAAACCCGCCCUCGUGAACAUGGAAUCCCUAGUAAUCGCGCGUCAUCAGCGCGCGGUGAAUACGUCCCUGCUCCU